UCUUGCUGCUGCUAUAAAUGUUGCUUUGUCUGGUUCUGAACCUUCAGAUUCCAUUAUGGUAACAGUUUUGUGCAAGCCAUUAAACUUCUUUAUAUUUUUUCUCUUAAAUGCACAUCUUUAUAUGAGUAUAUUUACCUCAACUUUAGACCAGGUACAACUUGAAAAUGUACCUCGGGUUGUAAAUGCGCUAUGAACUCAGAUGGAUAAGCUGAAAUCAGCUCCCAAUGUUAUAAUUAUGACUACGUCCAAUAUAACUGCUGCUAUUGGUAAGCCUAUAAUUCAUUUCACAUUGGUUCCUUAUUCUGAUUUUAGUUUUAGCAGAUAUGGUUUACUUCAAAUUGCUGAUCAACUUGAAUUUGAUGAGAGUAGAGUCCAGGAAGCUCUUGAGUGCUUCUAAUCGAAUCAGUUUUUGAAUCAAAAUGCUAGCUCUAGAGUGCUUUUAAACAAAUAUUUUUGAGUUGAAUUGCUAUUCAAGUAACGUGAAUUUGAUAUUAUGUUCCAUUUCAAAAGUAUGCUACCAACUUGACUUGCUUAAAAUCAUCUACUCCCGAGGUUAAGUCUCUAAAAUGUUCUGUUUUUUAUUUGAUAGAAUCAUAGAAUUCGAGGGUUGCUUGAGAAGUGUACUUCAGACCAUGAAGUACGCAUGGAAACAUUGCAUAAUGAGUUACGUGAAAGAGCCAUCUGAGACGCAAAGUGGCUCCAAAUUCAAAUAAACUCUUCGGAUGCCAACUACACUUUUAGGAACGUUGAAUUGCCUAUAGAAUUGCAACCGCUGGCCUUGACUAGUGAAGAAGUUGACGUUCUUAGAGGAAAAUAUAUCAAAAGAUUAACCGCUGUUCUUGUACAGCACAUACCAGCUUUCUGGAAAGUGGCACUUUCUGUUUUUAGUGGGAACUUCGCAAAGGAUGGCAAUGGGAAGGAAGAAUACACGGAUGAUGAC
Hibiscus syriacus is the source of this 940-nucleotide long non-coding RNA. RefSeq lists it as uncharacterized. The record is from RefSeq and is a predicted model, not a curated record. The transcript is spliced from 3 exons. NCBI's taxonomy places the organism in Eukaryota, Viridiplantae, Streptophyta, Magnoliopsida, Malvales, Malvaceae.